This 2918-nucleotide long non-coding RNA is filed under the name Sus scrofa (pig). Its description in RNAcentral is "lncRNA (ENSSSCG00030065924.1)". Lineage: Eukaryota; Metazoa; Chordata; Mammalia; Artiodactyla; Suidae. The record is from RNAcentral.
GCGGAGAUGAGGAGGCCAGUUGGUAGAUGAUCCACUUGGGAUGUUCGCAUCUUGCGGCGGUUUCUUCUCUCAGAAUAAGCAACGUGAAGUUCCCCAGUGGAACCUGAAGGAAGACUCUUGUUUCUAGAAUGGCUUUUCGUACUCUCGUCACAAGAGGGCACCAGCCUCUGGCAAAGGAUUGUUUUUGUUUUUCAUCUCAAGCGGGGGCAACCAUCUUUACUUCGGAGGAUGAGAGGAGCACAAUUAAAAGAUACUUGGAGCAAUACGUUUAAGCUGGACUCCUCCUCUGCAAACCGGGACACGAGCUCACACGCUGCCUGGCACAAUAGAGCACAGCCAGGUUAAUUAUGAUCUAGCUCUACGCCAAAGGCUCUCAUUCCCUCAAAUCAUGACACAGAGUAGAAGGAGAAAAGUGACCCAGCUGGCUUUUAUCUUGGAGAUCAAGAAAGACUUUCUCCUCCACCCAGUUCCCUACCUGGGAACUUCCAUAUGCCACAGAGGCAGGCCCCCGCUCCCCCUCCCCCCCCUGCAAAAAAAGAAAGAAAACGGCUAUUUUUUUUUUCUUCUUCUAGUUUUAUUGAGAUAUUACUGACAUCUAGCACUGUAUGUCUGAGGUUUACAGCAUAGUGGUUUGAUUUACAUACAUCAUGAAGUGUUAUGACAAAAAGUUUAUCAUCUCAAAUGGGUACAAGAUUCAGGAGUCAUCUUAUUAUCAUAAGCUCGAGUAUGGUUGAAAGGGGAUGGUUGUAAAUAACAAAAGAUGCUCCUGUCACUCAAGACAUUACAAGAGUUUUAGAAGCUGUGUCAGGAACCGAGGACAAAGACCAAAUAUAUAUUUCUUACUGUAUUUCACAUGUCACUCUUGAAAACAGACCAUCAGCUUCUAGGCACCUGGAGAAUCUGAGGAUGGGGGUUGGUUGCCUGAGAAACCAACCAUAUGAUUGGAAGGUUGAACUUUCAGCCUCACCCCCCAACCUCCAGGGAGGGGAGAGGACUAGAAGUUGGGUUCAUCAGCAGUGACCAAAUAUAUAAUCAAUCAUGCCUUACAUAAUGGAACCUCCAUAAAACCCUCUAAAUGAUGGGGUUCAGAGAGUUUCAGGGUUGAACACGUCAGGGUGCUGAGAGGGUGGUGUCCCCAGAGAGGGCAUGGAAUUCCAAGCCACUUCUUCCAUCCUGGCCCUAUGUAUCUCUUCUAUUUGGCUGUACUUGAGUUGUAUCCUUUAUAUUAUUAUUAUUAUUUUUGUCUUUUUGCCAUUUCUAGGGCUGCUUCCCGCAGCAUAUGGAGGUUCCCAGGCUAGGGGUCUAAUCAGAGCCGUAGCCACCGGCCUACGCCAGAGCCACAGCAACAUGGGAUCUGAGACUCGUCCGCCACCUACACCACAGCUCACGGCAACGCUGGAUCCUUAACCCACUGAGCAAGGCCAGGGAUUGAACCUGCAACCUCAUGGUUCUUAGUCGGAUUCGUUAACCACUGAGCCAUGACGGGAACUCCGAGUUGUAUCCUUUAUAAUAAACCAGAACUAGUAACUUGUUUGCCCAAGUUCUGUGAGCUGUUCUAGCAAGUUGUCCAACUGGAGGGGACCUUGGGAACACCUGAUUUGUAGCUGGUGAUGUAGGACUUGCAACUGGUGUCAGAAGUGAGAGCAGUUUUGCAAGAUCGACCCUUAACCUGUGCAACCUAUGUUAAUUCUGGGAAGUUGAUAUCAGAAUUGAAUUGAAUUGUAGCACCUCCAGUUGGUGUCUGGACUGCUGCCAGUUGGAGAAUUGGUUGGUGUAAGAAAACCCCCAGGUAUUUGGUGUCAGAAGAGUUGUGAGUAAAAGCAGUUCAGAUGUGGUAACAAGCAAGGCGUGCUGUAUCUCUGAGCUUCCGUGGGCCACCCAGAGCUUUCCAGUAUAUCGGGACUAAAGCAAAUGGAGCCUCCUCCUGAUCCUUUGGGGCAUUCAUUCAGAUUCUGAAGCCCUGAAAGACAAGCACCCUGCCAGGGAAUGUUAGUGUUUCCGUGUAAGUCAGCUACAGUAACAAAGCAGCAUGUCAUGUGCCUUGUGGACAUCAGACAUGGGAGGGGACACAGUAGAAGGGCUUUGGAAGAUGUGUGUCAGAGUGCGAUCCCAGAAACUAGUUGGAAGCUGGAGGUCCUGCGUCAUGGAGAGAGAGGCAUCCGUCAGUGAAAUUCAGAUAAUCACCAUCCCUGUAGCCUCACACGUACCCCCCCAAGCUGGUGCUUCUUAGAGAAAUUUCAAAGUUAUACCAAUAGCCAAGAGUACAUGGCCCAAGAGACACAGGUGGUGAGCUGGCUUCUCAGAAUUCCGAAAUGGAUUACUGAGCAAACGGUACGUGGCUGUAUGGGCACGUGGAAAGACUGAGGGGCUAGGACAAGGACUGUAAGGACCACUUGUAGCAAACCAGUAGUAUUUCUUUUCGGAGUAGUGGUUUUACUUUGUUAAAUUAAGAGAGGCUUUAAUCUGGAGUAUAGUGUCCAUAGACUAUCAAGGAGACAACCUGUUUAAGAGUGAAUUAUUUUGGAAAUGAAACACAAAGUUAUGGGGGUGUUUUCUCCCUCCUACUGUAGUUAGAAUUUAUAUAACAUUACUGAAAAACACUUGUAGUCAGUCAUUAAAUGUGUACGUUUAUUAAUAGUUUCUUCUCUAGAGGGUGCCUUUGAAAAGGCUCAACUUGAAGAAUUACUAGUGCAGGAGUUCCUGUUGUGGCUCAGUGGUUAACAAAUCCGACUAGGAGCCAUGAGGUUGCAGGUUCAAUCCCUGGCCUCGCUCAGUGGGUUAAGGAUCUGGCUUUGCCAAGGGCUGUGGUGUAGGUCACAGACACGGCUCCGAUCCCGCGUUGCUGUGGCUCUGGUAUAGGCCAGUGGCUACAGCUCCGAUUGGACCCCUGGCCUGGGAACCUCCAUAUGCCGCAGGUG